This 526-nucleotide ribosomal RNA is filed under the name uncultured Gammaproteobacteria bacterium. RNAcentral's name for it is "bacterial SSU rRNA". It matches the Rfam family "Bacterial small subunit ribosomal RNA", at positions 9 to 524 of the family's 1533-position model. Lineage: Bacteria; Pseudomonadati; Pseudomonadota; Gammaproteobacteria. The record is from RNAcentral.
GAGUUUGAUCCUGGCUCAGAGUGAACGCUGGCGGCAGGCCUAAUACAUGCAAGUCGAACGGCAGCACAGGGGAGCCUGCUCCCUGGGUGGCGAGUGGCGGACGGGUGAGGAAUACGUGGGAAUCUGCCCAGUCGUGGGGGAUAACGUAGGGAAACUUACGCUAAUACCGCAUGCGCCCUUCGGGGGAAAGCCGGGGACCUUCGGGCCUGGCGCGAUUGGAUGAGCCCACGUCGGAUUAGCUAGUUGGCGGGGUAAAGGCCCACCAAGGCGACGAUCCGUAGCUGGUCUGAGAGGAUGAUCAGCCACACUGGAACUGAGACACGGUCCAGACUCCUACGGGAGGCAGCAGUAGGGAAUAUUGGACAAUGGGCGCAAGCCUGAUCCAGCCAUGCCGCGUGAGUGAAGAAGGCCCUCGGGUUGUAAAGCUCUUUUGUCCGGAAAGAAAAGUUCCCGGUUAAUACCCGGGGAUUCUGACGGUACCGGAAGAAUAAGCACCGGCUAACUUCGUGCCAGCCGCCGCGGUAAC